GUCUAUCCCAGGAUUCAAGGUUCACAGACAGUGCCACUUGUCAACAGCUAAAGAGAAAUAAGAAAAGAACUUCAGAAGGGGAAACAUUCAUAAAGAGCAAGAGCACACUGAGGUGUACGGGUGAGGAAAGCGGCCAGCAAUGUUUAAAGUAUUACCUGAAUGAGAAUGCUAUUGAUCUUUGUGGUGGUGUGGGACGCCAAGGUAUGAAUCUGGAAUUUUCAAAUGCCUCUGUGCUUUCCAGGUACUAAAAACAUGAACUCUAAAAUUACA
This 270-nucleotide long non-coding RNA is filed under the name Homo sapiens (human). RNAcentral describes it as "HSALNT0025324". The record is from RNAcentral. Lineage: Eukaryota; Metazoa; Chordata; Mammalia; Primates; Hominidae.